CUUCACCUGUGCUCCUGCAGGAGUGUGAGGCUUAGCAGGAGGAGCAGGCUUGUGAAGCUGAUUCCCUGUGGUUGAUGAAGUCUCAGUAAAGCUGCUGGUGCCAUAAAAGAUUAUCUUUGGUUACUUACCCAAGUGAGGAAGCCUCUUCUGCUAGCUGCAUUCUUUUGUAUAUAUCCAGGAUAUGGGCAUCACAAGAUGCGGAUGGUUGCAAGAACUGUGGCAAGGUUAACGUAAGCUUCACUCUGCCUUCGGAAUUCCAUCUUGUGUUACACAGAUCUGUGAAGUUGCCUGUGGAGACUUAGGAAACUUGGAACAUUUUCAGUUUCACUUGAAAAAUGUGCUACUAUUCUUCAAUCCAUUGACCUAUGGAGGAAAGUAGUGAUGAAUGGAGAGGCAAGAUGAAUGAGUGACAUUUCUCUGGCAUGGGAUUUCCUUGAUUAGGCGUGGAGUUAACAUGAGUGGGGAAGAUUGUGCAAAGGCGGUCUUGGAGAAGAUCCUGAGAAGUCAUUAAGAUUCUGCUUGAUUAGGUACUUAGAAGAAUUUUAUUUCUGCUCUUAGAAGUAUUACUUUGCCUGUUACUAUAAUCAACCAUUUUGAGUGGUGUUCCUAUUAGAACAC
Long non-coding RNA from Bos taurus (domestic cattle), 618 nucleotides. Lineage: Eukaryota; Metazoa; Chordata; Mammalia; Artiodactyla; Bovidae. The record is from Ensembl.